AAGAGAUUCUAAUGCAUUCAUUUAGGCUUAAUAAUUUUCCCAGUCAAAAAUCAUGACCCCUUGGCCAAGUGUGGUGGCUCAUGCCUGUAAUCCCAGCACUUUGGGAGGCCGAGGCAGGUGUACCACCUGAGGUCAGGAGUUCAAGACCAGCCUGGCCAACAGGGCGAAACUUCUUUUCUACAAAAAAUACAAAAAAAAUAGCCGGGUGUGGUGGCACAUGCCUGUAAUCCCAGCAACUCGUGAGGCUGAGGCAUGAGAAUGGCUUGAAACCAGGGGAGGCGGGAGGUGGGGGGAGCUGGGGGUCGGAGGUUGCAGUAAGUCAAGAUCGCGCCACUGCACUCCAGCCUGGGUGACAGAGGAAGACUCCAUCUCAAAAAAAAAAAAAAAAAAAAAAAGAAAUCAUGACCCCUGACUGGGGCUGUGACUUAUGUCCAUAAUCUGAGCACUUUGGUAGGCCAAGGCAGGAGAAUUGCUUGAGGCCCCAAGUUUGAGACCAGCCUGGGUAACAUAGUGAGACCCACCCCCCCCACCCACCUCCUCACCCUCAUCUCCACAAAAAAUACAAAAAUUAGCCAGGCACGGUGGUGCGUGCCUAUAGCUCCGGUUACUCAGUGGGCUGAGGCAGGAGGAUUGCUUGAGCCACAGAGGUCUAGGCUACAGUGGGUCGUUAUUGUGAAACUGUACUCCCAGGCUGGGAGGCAGAGGGAGCUCAAAAAACACACACAAAAAAGCAAAAACAGAUGAAGCUACCCCUCCUAUCCUCACCCCCACCCCAACUCCCUCUGAUGGUUUUCAUGCAAGAGGUCUGCAAAUGCACUUUGAGAAACUCUGCCUGUAUCUUAUUGUCAAGUUGUUAAUAUUUAUCUUUAUAAAAUGUAUCCUAAAUAUAUGCAUGCAGAAUUCUGGAUCAGAGAUAGAUUUCAUAUCAAACACCUCAUAGUAAAUGUAAUAAGUGCGCUGGUACCCCUAGCUUCAGUCUUACUCCUGAGGUAACGUGAUGAGAGCCAGGUCAAUUGUCCUACAGGAGAAGGCAAGAACAAGGAAACUGAUUUCUCCUGUUCCUAAAAGGGUAGGAGGCAGUUGCCCCCUCCGCUCCUGAGAAAGUCUCCUCCUUAUCCAAUCCUUUUGUGUGGAAAUAAAAUCUAGCCAGAAGCUGGAUAGCUUGGGUGUCUCUGCCUUAAUGAUCUUGAGACUUCUUUAAAUUCCCAGCCUUGGCAGGAUGUGGUGGCUCACACCUGUAAUUCCAGCAUUUUGGGAGGCCAAGGCAGGCUGAUCACUUGAGACCAGGAGUUCGAGACCAACCUGGCCAACAUGGUGAAACUCCAUUUCUACCAAAAAUACAAAAAUUAGUUGGGCAUGGUGGUGCAGGCCUGUAAUUGCAGCUACUUGGGAGGCUGAAGCAUGAGAAUUGCUUGAACCCUGGAGGCCGAGGUUGCAGUGAGGCGAGAUUGCACCACUGCACUCCAGCCUGGGCAACAGAGAGAGACUCUGUCUCCAAAAAAAAAAAAAAAAAAAAAAAAAUUCCCAGCCUUGUUUCUCUCUGAAAUGCAGAUACCUAGAAAUGUAGUAUUGCUGCUUCUCUUGCAACUUGGGCUCAGCCUAAGGUACCUACUCAGGCUGUAACUCUUUGGUUCACCUGGGGAGAUAAGAGAAGUUAGUACUGUUUCCGAUCAGAACAAUUAACUAGACAAAUGGCUACAGAUGAAGGCUAGGGCUUCUUAUAGAAACACCGAAAAAAAUUCAGGGAAGUUUUCUUUUUCGCCUCUUAUUUACCAGGAGGAGAAGGAAAGAGAAACUUUCUAGCUGAUCAAAGCUGCAGUAGAAGAAAUUCUUUCACGUGGACCUUAUGAUUUAGCAAAUUCAAUAGUGCCUGUGCUCUAUUGGGAUGGGUUAUGGAACUUGUGUAAAACCCUGGUGGAUUUAAGCUGUAAAGCAGCCAUUUUUAUGAAUGGAUAUCCAGUAACAACAACUGUCAGGAAGGCAGGAAGGCAGGAAGGCAGACUUCCAUGUUUAAGUAAAUAGAUGUUUCAUGAGACACAUGAAACAGAACCUCAUACUUCUGUGGUUCUUCAUAUAAAAACAAAAC
RNAcentral lists this long non-coding RNA (2086 nucleotides) under Homo sapiens (human). RNAcentral describes it as "HSALNT0159449". The record is from RNAcentral. Lineage: Eukaryota; Metazoa; Chordata; Mammalia; Primates; Hominidae.